CGUGUAGGCGGUCUAUCGAGUCAGGCGUGAAAGAUCCCGGCUUAACCGGGGAAACGCAUUGAGAACUACUGAGCUAGAGUCUAGGAGGGGAAGCUGGAAUUCCUGGUGUAGGGGUGAAAUCUGUAGAUAUCAGGAAGAACACCGGUGGCGAAGGCGAGCUUCUGGCCAUAGACUGACGCUGAGGCGCGAAAGCGUGGGGAGCAAACAGGAUUAGAUACCCUGGUAGUCC
This 229-nucleotide ribosomal RNA is filed under the name uncultured bacterium. RNAcentral describes it as "partial 16S ribosomal RNA". It matches the Rfam family "Bacterial small subunit ribosomal RNA", at positions 568 to 796 of the family's 1533-position model. The record is from RNAcentral.